UACGAAGGGGGCUAGCGUUGCUCGGAAUCACUGGGCGUAAAGCGCACGUAGGCGGAUUGCUAAGUCGGGGGUGAAAUCCUGGAGCUCAACUCCAGAACUGCCUUCGAUACUGGAGAGCUCGAGUCCGGGAGAGGUGAGUGGAACUGCGAGUGUAGAGGUGAAAUUCGUAGAUAUUCGCAAGAACACCAGUGGCGAAGGCGGCUCACUGGCCCGGUACUGACGCUGAGGUGCGAAAGCGUGGGGAGCAAACAGG
Molecule: ribosomal RNA, 253 nt
Filed under: uncultured bacterium
Lineage: Bacteria
Description: partial 16S ribosomal RNA
Rfam family: Bacterial small subunit ribosomal RNA
Source: RNAcentral